Long non-coding RNA from Phyllostomus discolor (pale spear-nosed bat), 1054 nucleotides. RefSeq lists it as uncharacterized. The transcript is spliced from 2 exons. Lineage: Eukaryota; Metazoa; Chordata; Mammalia; Chiroptera; Phyllostomidae. The record is from RefSeq and is a predicted model, not a curated record.
GGCAGUAUACCUAUAUGGACUUGUUGAUAUUCCGGUAUGUGGGUUAUUAUUCAAUUCUUCAAGCUCCACAGUUGAUCUGUAGCUAGUUGUAAAGAAUCUCAUUAUCUCUAAGCCAAAUAAUCCAGCUGGGACGUUGGAAGGGCAGAAGGUACUUUAAAAGUAUAUUUUGGAUUAACAAGAACCCUACGCCUAUAAUAGAGAAAACUGAAAGGAGUGAUCAGUUUAAGAAAACCCCAAAGCUCUGCAUUUGGGUGGGCUGUGGUAGCACUGCCUCAGCCAAGAAGGGGCAGCUUUGUAAUUCUUCAACUCGGAUGAGAUACCUUUAUAUAAGAGCAAUUUGCUCUCCUGCAACCCUCCCCAGGGCUGGUUUUUCUCAUAUGCACACAGGGUAUGACACAGUUAGCAGUGGUCUUGUCUCAGCCUUUCAAAGUUCACAGGGGUGGAUGGAAUUAAAUUCCCUCCAGUCAAAUCUGGCAAGACAGCUUCAAACCGCGGGUCCCUCUGGGGCUUACUUGAGGGAAGUGCAUCACAAAGUCACACCUCAAAAUUCAAGACGGAGAAGGUUGACUGUGCCGCUUCAGCCUCUUAGGGCUGGGAGGAGCCCUCUGACUUUGCUCACCAGCUUGUCUGAAGCAUCGAAGUAUCUAUAACUAAAGGACAGAGUUUGUGCUUCAUUGAAGAGAGACCACUUCAGAACCUUCAUAGCAGAAAGCCAGCACCAGGCACCUCAAACUUCUUAGCUCCCAGGAAUAGACUCCUGGGGACAGAUGUCAAUGGCUUUGCAUGGACAAUGCUCCAGGGUACUGCUCAGGAUUUCCAGAACUCUGUUUAUUUGAGAAAUGGACAAUUUCAUGAGACCACUAGCCCAAGACCUAGUGGAGUAAGAAUUGCUAACAUAAAUGAAGUAACUGAUAAACUGUACUGUGUUUACUGUGGAUGUUGUUUUAAUGUUUGAUUUUUUUGAGAUAUAAGGAAGCCCUUUUUCCUUUUAAGCUGUCUAUAACUGUUAACUAGUACAUUCUUUAGUCAAUUGAAAUGAAUCAUUUAAAAAUGA